GUGAGGAAUAUUGGACAAUGGGUUAGCGCCUGAUCCAGCCAUCCCGCGUGAAGGACGACGGCCCUAUGGGUUGUAAACUUCUUUUGUACAGGGAUAAACCUACUCUCGUGAGAGUAGCUGAAGGUACUGUACGAAUAAGCACCGGCUAACUCCGUGCCAGCAGCCGCGGUAAUACGGAGGGUGCAAGCGUUAUCCGGAUUUAUUGGGUUUAAAGGGUCCGUAGGCGGAUCUGUAAGUCAGUGGUGAAAUCUCACAGCUUAACUGUGAAACUGCCAUUGAUACUGCAGGUCUUGAGUAAGGUAGAAGUGGCUGGAAUAAGUAGUGUAGCGGUGAAAUGCAUAGAUAUUACUUAGAACACCAAUUGCGAAGGCAGGUCACUAUGUCUUAACUGACGCUGAUGGACGAAAGCGUGGGGAGCGAACAGG
This 425-nucleotide ribosomal RNA is filed under the name uncultured Chryseobacterium sp. RNAcentral's name for it is "bacterial SSU rRNA". It matches the Rfam family "Bacterial small subunit ribosomal RNA", at positions 354 to 776 of the family's 1533-position model. Lineage: Bacteria; Pseudomonadati; Bacteroidota; Flavobacteriia; Flavobacteriales; Weeksellaceae. The record is from RNAcentral.